RNAcentral lists this ribosomal RNA (301 nucleotides) under uncultured bacterium. Its description in RNAcentral is "partial 16S ribosomal RNA". It matches the Rfam family "Bacterial small subunit ribosomal RNA", at positions 509 to 807 of the family's 1533-position model. The record is from RNAcentral.
CAGCAGCCGCGGUAAUACGAAGGGGGCUAGCGUUGUUCGGAAUUACUGGGCGUAAAGCGCACGUAGGCGGACAUUUAAGUCAGGGGUGAAAUCCCGGGGCUCAACCCCGGAACUGCCUUUGAUACUGGGUGUCUUGAGUGUGGAAGAGGUCAGUGGAAUUGCGAGUGUAGAGGUGAAAUUCGUAGAUAUUCGGAGGAACACCAGUGGCGAAGGCGGCUCACUGGUCCAUUACUGACGCUGAGGUGCGAAAGCGUGGGGAGCAAACAGGAUUAGAUACCCCCGUAGUCCCUGUCUCUUAUAC